GUCCAGUUUUCCCAGGAUUCCCUGUUGUUAAUACCAAGGAUUCCUGGAAAGGCUGUCCC
RNAcentral lists this microRNA precursor (59 nucleotides) under Eptatretus burgeri (inshore hagfish). RNAcentral describes it as "Ebu-Mir-145_pre stem-loop". Lineage: Eukaryota; Metazoa; Chordata; Myxini; Myxiniformes; Myxinidae. The record is from RNAcentral.